AGAUUAUACACAUAUGUGUGUAUAAUUGCAUUUUUUAUUCUAGCUGUUUGGAUGGAAUGGAGUGAUGACAUGGUGUAGCACUCAGCCAUUUUAGGGGGAGCUGCAAAAAUUCUGUUCCUUAAAGGCAGGUAAAAACUGCUUUCAGUAUUUUCUACAGUACAAUACGAUCUUCUCUUGGCAUCAUCAUUAUUUUUCCCUUUUAUCUCUUCUAACUAGGUUCUGGGUAUCGUUGACUCUCUUGAGAUUAGUUGAUGUAUGUGUAUGUCUGGUUUAUAUGACCAGAGAAAAUAAACAAAUUCUAUUAUAAAAUUGAAUCAUCAAGUAUGAAUACACUCCAUGCUGAAGGUUGUUGCUACUCAUUUAAGCACAUCACGCUUUAAUGGCUUCAGGUUUUUUAUUACUAUUAUUUUUGAGAAAGAGAAGAAAUAUGAGUGUAUUUAAUGUAAACUAGAAUGUUUCUGAAGUGUGAUAGUCAUUAUGUAGUAGAACAAGUUAAGAUCCUUGAAAUCCAGUGUGAACAGAUUAAAGAGAUCUCAGAUGGUUAAAAGUAAGGUCACAAUCAUAGAAACAAAGGUUAUGUUCUUGAGACAUUAAUUUCGGUUGAAUGAUAUAGAAUUGCCACCUUUUAAGAUAAAAAACAGUCACGUAUUGGCAAUUUCAAAUGGUCCACUUGAUAGAUGUUCAGGAGGGAAGGAAUGCAGAAGGGAGUGUGAAGGAAAGAGCGCAGGUCUUCAGGUGUUGUGCCAUUAGCCAGGGCCAUCACUGUUUAAUACUGAAUGGCUGAGCUCUUGCAGAUGUAGAUCAAGCAAUAUUUAGUUGUCUCUUCUCUUUGGAAGAAAGGGGUUGCAAAAUAUUCCACAUCAGCAGGUGUAUAGAAGCCUUCGGGGAUUUUUCACCAUCAUCACAUUUCCAAAGGAUUUAAGAAAGCUUACAAAAAUAUAUGACAUUUUUAAAAGUGAGGAAAUCGAGGAUAUGGGUAAAUAGUGACAUCCAGAUCUC
Long non-coding RNA from Sapajus apella (tufted capuchin), 999 nucleotides. RefSeq lists it as uncharacterized. The record is from RefSeq and is a predicted model, not a curated record. NCBI's taxonomy places the organism in Eukaryota, Metazoa, Chordata, Mammalia, Primates, Cebidae. The transcript is spliced from 2 exons.